Molecule: non-coding RNA, 403 nt
Organism: Caenorhabditis elegans
Lineage: Eukaryota; Metazoa; Nematoda; Chromadorea; Rhabditida; Rhabditidae
Gene: anr-14
Product: ncRNA
Source: Ensembl
UUGUCAAUUGGUGGUUGUUCUGGGAUAUUAUCGAGUGGUUCGGAUUGAAGGCUAAAAUGGAGAGGGCGAUUCGAGAAUUCAACGAUAAGACCUUCGUCGUCGAGUUUUACACCGGUUUCGCGUUGAAGUCUGAAAAUAGAGCUUUUGUGGCAACGUGGAAUGGCAUAAUAUGGAGAUUCGGAAGAAGAAUUCGAUGGAAUCUGGAAUUUUUUUUUUUAAUCAAUUAAACAAUUAAUGCAUCUUUUAGGUUUUUAGCAAUUUUUUAUUUAAAAAAUUAUUUUAUUUUUCGGCUAAAUUUAAAAAAAUCGUGUUUGGAAUGUUUUUUUCGAUGUUUUAAAAAGAGCAAACUUAAAAUUUAAACGUUUGAAAUUAAAUUUUUUUUAAAUAAAAAGAGUAGUUUUUU